UUUGUCUACUGUUUUUAUUUAUUUAUUUUCUUAAAUAAACUGACUAAAUAUAAAACCGUACUUGCCUUCUCCUUAGUCUUUGCAUUUUACUUCCUUUGUUCGUCUCUCGUACGCUCUCUCCGCUGCUACGCCUUCUCCAUCCCAUUUGUUGGUGCAAUUGGAGUUAGGGUUUAAAGAGAGGUUGAAUCAAAUUCUGAGAUAAAUUUCAGGCUAAUUAAAUUGAUGCUCAUUGGGAGCUGAAGGCAAAUUUCUUGGACAGAAUGGGGUUUGAUAACGAGUGCAUACUGAAUAUCCAAUCUCUGGCCGGCGAGUUCUUCUGUCCUGUUUGUCGUCUACUUGUCUACCCAAAUGAAGCAUUACAGUCACAAUGCACCCAUCUUUACUGCAAACCAUGUUUAACCUACGUUGUCGGUACUACCCGAGCUUGUCCUUAUGAUGGUUACUUGGUAACAGAAGCGGAUUCUAAGCCGCUUGUUGAGUCGAAUAAGGCACUUGCCGACACCAUUGGGAAAAUCACAGUUCAUUGUCUAUACCAUAGGAGUGGCUGCACGUGGCAGGGUCCACUUUCUGAAUGUACAGCUCAUUGUUCUGGGUGUGCAUUUGGCAAUUCUCCUGUUGUAUGUAAUAGGUGUGGCAUUCAGAUUGUGCAUCGUCAAGUUCAAGAACAUGCACAAAAUUGCCCUAGUGUGCAGCCUCAAGCACAGCAAGCUGCUGGUGGUCAGGAAACUGCAGUCUCAGGCACCACAGCUACUGCUGGUCAGACCCAGGUUGCUUCUCAGGCAGAAACAGCUAUUUCUCAGACCCUCGCAUCUCAAACUACAACAUCCAGUACACCUGUACAAGACCCGAAUCAGCAUGCCAACCCAAAUUCCCAGUCUCAAGCUGUCUCCCAGGCUGCUGUGGUGAUGUCAGAGCAGUGGUAUCAACAACAGCAGCAACAGUAUCAGCAAUACUACCAGCAAUAUUCUGGAUAUGACCCAUAUUAUCAGCAAUACUACCCUUUUCAACAGCAGGCAGUUCCACAAUACCAGCAGCAGCCUUUGCAAGUUAAUGCAUCACACAUGGCUGGCCAGCAUUCAGUGUACAUGCAGACACAGCCCCAACCUCAACCGCAGGUGCAGCCCCAACCACAGCUUCAGUCUCAAGUACAGCCUCAACCACAGGCCCAGCCUCAGUCACACUUAUCUGUUCAGGCUCCGGUGGCUUCUCAACCUCAGAACCAAGCACAAGUCAACCAACAGCAGCAAAUUCACCUUAUGAUACCACCUCAGUCUCAAAUUCCAUCACAAACUUAUCCAACCGCCCAGGGCCAUUCCCAGCCUCAGGUUCAGCCAUUUCCUCAAGCUCAGCCUCAUCCACAGGUCCAAACUAUUCAGCCUCAUCUGCAACAUGGGCAAAUGCCUCAGUAUCAGCAGCAUCAUUCCCAGAUGCAACAACCACAGCCCCAGCUUCAUCCUGCUCCUCAAGCUCAGCCUGAGGCACAGCUUCAGCCUCAGUCUCAGCCUCAGCCUCUGCCCCAGCCCCAGCUGCAGCCACAUCCUCUGCAAAGCCAGCCCUUGAAUCCAAAUUUGAUACCUCAGAUGCAGCACCCUGCAGCCCAUGCCGUGACUGGUCAUCAGUCUUAUCCACAAUCGCAGACUCACCAGCAAAUACAGCUGGUAACACCACAAAAUCCCUUGCAUAUGCAUGCUCAAGGUGGCCUUCAUCCACAGCAGCACCCUGCUGAAAUGCAGAAUUCAUACCCUCAGCAACCUCCCUUGAUGCGCCCACCCCAAUCUCAUGCUACAAUUCCAAACCAACAGCAGCCUGGUUUGUUGCCUUUACCUGGUCCUAUGCUGCAACAAGUUCAUCCAAAUUCUCUUCGACCUACACUUUCAGUUCAACAACGUCCAACUAUGCAGCCUCCUGCAUCACCCAUGUCUCAGCAGUAUGUGCAGCAGCAACCUCUGUCAACUCAACCGGUGGGCUUGGUUCAGCCUCAAAUGCAUCAGCAAGGUCCUUUUGUGCAGCAACAACAGUCGUCACAGUCUCAGUUGUGGCCCCCAGGCCCCCCUCAUUCCUUUCAGCAACCUCCUCAUGCCUAUCCACAACCACAGCAAAAUGUUGCAGGGUCUCAUAUUGUGCAUCCCCAUUCAUCUCAUAAUCUUGUUGGGAGACCUAUGACACCGAAUCAUGUUGUACAACCACAGCCAUAUCCACAGUCUGCAGCUGGUAUGCUGGUUAAGCCUAUGCAACUUGGUGCAAACCUGCCAUCUUCUUAUCAGAGUAAUGUGUUCAGGACCAACAACCAAUCUGGGGUAAAUUCACAACCAAUGUGUGAGGUGCCAGGAGAUCAUGGUACUGACAAAAAUGUGGCUGAGCAAGAAGCGGAUUCAUCCUCCCAGGGAAUUGCUAAGAAGAAAGGUAAUGAGUUGGAUGUGGCAUCUAGUCUUGGAGCUGAUGUGGAUGAAACUAAUGCCUCAAAAUCCAAUGCUGAUUUGAAAUCUGUAGAUGAAAAACCUCCUGGUGAUGUUGGAGAUAAUAGUAGUGGAUAUGAUAAGGAAACACCAGAAUCUAGAACGACAGACCUUGAACCACAUAGAGAUCCUGUUUCUAAGAAUACGGUCAAGGGUGAGGCUACUGAAGACCUGAAAUAUGUUGACAAUGGUGAGCGCAAGGUAGAGGAAAAUAAAAUUAAGGAUGGCCCUUUGCUGAAAACUCCCCCACUGCAGGAGGCUAAGCUUGGUGAAGAACAGAAUGGAAAGAUGCAGAAAGAAAAAAUUCUACCUCAAGAUCAGGUUACUUCUAAAGGUCCUGCAGGCAAUGGAUUUAGAGGCAUCCCUCCAUCCAGUCAGGUUCAGCCUGGAGGCUUUCUGCAGCCUUCUCAUUCCGUUCCAAUUAUUGAUCAGGGAAGGCACCAACCCCUACAGAUGCCUUAUGGGUCUAAUAAUAACCAACAAAGACCUGCUGCUUCUGCAAUGUUACAAACACCUCCACCAGGGCUGCCUUCACAUGCACAAACAACAGGACUUCCUCCCAAUCAAUUUAGGCCUCAGGGCCCAGGACGGACUUUAGUUCCACCUGAAAAUUUAGUUCCUGGUUCCUUUGGUAGAGGACCAAGUAAUUAUGGUCCUCAAGGGCCUUAUAUUCAAGGUCCUGUUUCUGCUGCUCCUAGGAUAUCUCUAGGUGAAACUCUUGUACGCCCACCAUUUGGUACACCACCUCUUAAUGCUUUUGACUUGCACGGUGCACUGCCAUAUGGCCCUGAAGGUCAUUCGGUUCAGCAGCGAUCUGCAAACAUGGACUAUCAUGCUGAUAAUAGACAGCUAGAUCCUAGGGCCUCAGGUGUUGAUUCCACAUCAACAUUCAGCUUGCAUGGUGAAAGGUUAAAGCCUGCACAAGAUGAGCAUUUGAAUCCAUUUCCUUUGGAUCAUGCUCAUCGUGUUGGUGAUCGAGGACAAUUUGAUGAAGAUCUUAAACAAUUUCCUAGGCCUUCUCAUUUGGAUGCUGAGCCUGUUCCGAAAUUUGGAAGCUACUUUUCCUCAUCCAGACCCCUUGUUAGAGGUCCUCAUGAUUUUGGCACGGAUAUGGGACCAAGGGCUCAUGAGAAGGAACCUCAUGGUUUGAAUUUUGAUCCUAUGAUUGGCUCUGGUCCUUCUCAAUUCUUGCCACCAUAUCAUGAUGCAGGAGAAAGGCCAGUUGGUCUUCCUGAAGAUACUCUAGGCAGGACAAAUUUUCGUGGAACGGUUCCUAGCUAUGGUCGGCAUCGUAUGGAUGGUUUUGUUUCUAGAAGUCCAGGCAGAGAAUAUCCAGGCAUAUCCCCACGUGGAUUUAGAGGGCAUCCUGGUGACGAGAUAGAUGCCAGGGAACGCCGAUUCAAUGAUAGGUUUUCUGGUUUGCCUGGACAUCUACAUAGAGGUGGAGUUGAGAGUUCUGAUCACAUGGUGGAGCAUUUGAGGAGUCGUGAUAUGAUUGGUCCAGAUAUUCGGCCUCCGCACUUUAGAAUGGGUGAACAUUUGGGUCAUCCUAACAUGCCUGGUCAUUUGCUGAUGGGAGAACCCAUUGGCUUUGGUGAUUUUUCUAGCCAUGAACGAAUGGGAGAAUUUGGUGGGCCUGGAAACUUCCGUCACCCACGACUUGGUGAGCCAGGAUUUAGAAGCAGCUUUUCACUUCGAGAAUUUCCUAAUGAUGGUGGAAUCUAUACAGGUGAUAUGGAUUCAUUUGAAAAUUUGAGAAAGAGAAAACCGGUGAGCAUGGGUUGGUGCCGCAUUUGUAAAGUGGACUGCGAAACUGUUGAAGGCUUGGACCUGCACUCACAAACAAGGGAGCACCAGAAGAUGGCUAUGGAUAUGGUUGUUACCAUCAAACAAAAUGCAAAGAAACAGAAGUUAACCUCCGGUGAUCACUCCAUACACAAUGAUUCAAGCAAAUCAAAGAACACAAAAUUUGAAGGCCGUGUGAAUAAGCAUUGAGUCUUGAUAUGCGCUGUCAUAUGGAUUGUGGUUGUUCACUUGCUGGCUUGGGAUUGAAUUUGUUGGUUUGGUAUUUGGAACUUAGUGAUGUAGGUCACUCACCCUUGAUGCCUCUUUUCUACUUCUGGGUGGUUUAUGCUGAUCCUGUCAUUCAGGUUGCUGCCAUGUUAAUGGAGAUGGUUUUUGGAACUGGAGUUCAGUGGCAAUUUUUUCAAUUCGACCUCUCUUUUUUCGGCGAAGCAGACAACAUAAUGGCUGAAAGUACAGUGGGAAGGUUUUGACACUCAUCUUUUUUAGAUGUGGUAAGAUUGUGUUCACAGUAGCGGUAAACUUUUGCUUUGUAAUAUUGCUUUUGUUUUUCUUUGAAAUUGGCUAACUGCGGGGUAUUAUAUAUGUUGCUUUAUUGCCACACUGUUUUUGUUUUAUAUUUUCUUUUAAGUUAAAUGCUCAGUUGUGGGAAAUUUGUGGUAGUCUGAGAGAUCUUAGAAUUGAGAGGCUGAUAAAAGUGUUACUUAGAGUGUAAGUUAUUUCUUAAAAUGUAUGCUAGAAAUACUUUAUUUUCUUUUUUUAAUAAGUGAAACGUAAGUUAGAAUUGUUUGCCAACUGCAGGGUAUCAGUUUAGGGCAGUUCUGAAACAAGGCCCUUUUGUUGAAUACUUGGAUUGAGCUAGGUUGUUGACUACCUCUCCUUUUUAGUUUAGCAAUGCCUCAUCCCCUUGUUAAAGGGAUUUAAAGCUUAGGCCAAGAGUCCUAGUAGGCUUGCAUGUUAGGAUGUACUUGCUUCAGGCAAGGGUUGUCCUGGACUCCUGGCGCUUGUUCUAUAUGUUAGGAUGGACAAGGAAGGCCUACUAUCUUUCAUGUCAAAUAAGACUUCUGUUUAGAAUGUUAUAUUCUGCUAGGAUCCAUCUUUCAUAGUUGUGCAUGUCGAACCUAAAUGACAUUCCUUAGAAAAGACAGUGUUAGUCUUGUUACUUUAACAUUUCUUUCUUGGUCCUUUGGUGUUUCAAUAAUAGGAUCGGACAAGUUAUGCCUAUAUUGGUGGCUGCAUUGCCUUCCUUUCUGUCCUGAUAUUAUGCGUGUGGAUCAGUCUGCUUUUCCUUAAGACUCAUGCUGUUAUAUUUGAUGUAUGAUUGUAGAGGUGUUAAUCUAACAUUCUCGUUGACCUUUAUUAAUUUAUCGACUAUGUUUCAUAUUUUAAACAUUGUUUGUUUCUAUGUUCAGUUGCUCUGUCAUGCCUGAGAUAUUCCAAGUAAAUGCACAAUUGGGCUAAUAAUAUGUUUAUUUUCCUACAAUUCUAAAUGACUUCCAUUCAUUUGUGAUCUUCAAUUUUUUAAGGUGCAAAAACUUCAUUUGUAUCUGCUCUAUAAAAUGAGAUAUAAUAAAGUAUUAAGUAUAAAGUAAUUAAUGAUAGACAUAAAUCUGAGACAUACAAAUAACUAUCAUUUAGAAGAUGACCAAUGUUGAAUUGUUUUUCUAGGCAUUAUUUUAUGAGCCUUUGACUUCCAAGUUAACAUAAAGUUAGAUCUCUAUAGUUCAAGAAUAUAGUUCUUAGUUUUUGAACCUUUAUAACACUUAAGUUAAUCAUACUAUAGGAUGUUUGUUGCCUGUCUAAAUCAUUCAAAGUGAAAUUUCAAAUUUAAAACUUUGGUGCUUUAAUACUCAUAAUACUAGUUCUAUGAUCAAGAGGUUACAUAAAUGAUAAUUGGCAGGAGGCUAAUUAAGCAAUUCUUUCUGUUUCCCUACUAUUUUUUGACUUUGGUUGAAUUUUCAUCAUGAAUACUUUGGGAAAUGCUUAAUGGUUAAUGCCUCAUAAGACUUCCAUAUUUGCAAAAUUUCUACUUCUUUGAAGCUGGGCAGCCUCUUUUCAAUGUUGGAUGGCAAUUCUGAACUGCAUAUCCCGUAUCUUUCAUUGUGUUUCUGACCAGGUUUGUGAUUUUAUUCUUGAUCAUUAUGUGGUUGAAUCUGCAACCUCAUAUGGUAGUUCUUUUUGCUUGUUCUCCUUUUUGAUUUUAAGAUCUUAAGUCUUUCACCUCUCUCUUUCUUAUUAUGUCAAUGUUGCUUUUUCUUGGAGUGAGUCGAACGAAGGUCAAAUUUGGAAGCGAUAUUAGGUAGUGUACUAUACUAGACAAAGAUCUUUCACCAGUGUUGGUUUUGAAUUUACCAAUUGGGUUCUAGUUAAAGCAAUGGCUAGUGGCUGUCUUUUAUAUAAUCAAGCAGGGUGCAGUCUUAAUCGGUGGUUCAAUGUACAAUAGGUUUGGGGCUUAGAAUUAAUGAGUUAUGAAGUAAUGGUUUCUUCUUUUUUUUUUUUUAUGGUUAUAGAGAGAGGCUUUUAGGGUUAACAAUUGAUUUGAUUGGAGUUUAAGAUAAAAAAAAUUCAAAAAUGUUGGUUCGACUUGAUGAUUCUAGUUGCAUGCUACUACUGGAAACAGUGAGCAUUGAGAUAAUGAUACAAAUGUAGGGUCAAAUUGGUGGGAACUGAUUGGAAAAUGAAAAGCUAUUUAGGGUUUUAAUACUACUAUGAGAAAGAGUGUUGUGUGGCUGCAUUUGGCAAGACUAGAGCAUCAUGGGUACUGUUGUCUUGUGAACAGUGGCAACAGAACCUUGAGAAAGGAUAACAAAUAACGUGGCGAGGUGAAUCAACAAUGAUAAAGUUCUUGAACAUUUCGUUCAGUAAAAUAUCUAUUAAAACCAUUUCUUCUAAGUCCAAAGACAGGCAGACACUUUUUUUUUUUAUAUCAUAAUUGGACUUGGAAUUCUAAAUGUUUUUAGAUUUAGAGAUAAUCCCAUCUUACAUAAAUUUAGGACCACAUCAUAAGCCCUAAUUGAGUAGCUAGACUCAUCCAAUGAGCCACAAAAACAAGGCUCUUCCUAGCUAAACAUAAAAUUACUAAAAACGACCCGCACAACAAAACUCGAAUAAAUACUUCCACAUGUGGUGCAUGUGUAAAUUAGUGUCGAUUGGGUAAAUAGAUUAAACCUUUAUGUUAAAGUAUAUACUUGGUCAGUGCAAGAGAGAAUUGUUGGGUAGCUACAGGGAUAAAAAAAAAAAAAAGAAAUAAAUCAUGGAGAAUAUUAUUCAUGGAUUCAGCCCAUGUUUUCUCCCUUGUAUUUUCUCUGCUCCUAUUUUAUGCUUACCGUUUAUUAUUGGGCCUCAUGGCUUAAUGACUUGUCUAGUGUGCGGUGGAAUCCCCCUUUUCAUGACAGUAUAUUUGAUUAAUUUGGCUAAAACUUGAAAUGGGGCAAGCAGACCUUUUUCCCAGCAACUUAUUGGUCUUUUUUUUUUUUUUUUUU
This is an RNA transcript of Durio zibethinus, 7741 nucleotides long. RefSeq lists it as uncharacterized. The record is from RefSeq and is a predicted model, not a curated record. NCBI's taxonomy places the organism in Eukaryota, Viridiplantae, Streptophyta, Magnoliopsida, Malvales, Malvaceae.